ACCAACAAAAUCUGAGCAUGUGGUCAUCGUUUGGCUCUUCAACAUCUGCCAACAUUAGCCACAAAGCAACAGAAAUAGAACCAAGAAACAAAUGGGUAACCUCAAAUAGCUUUGGGGUUUACCGCAAUGUUGUGCUUGAGUGAGCAUCCAGAGCCAACUAGAAAUUGGCAUGGCCGUGGUGGGCUUUGGUGUGUAGAACUGCUCUGAUUUCUGCAACAUGUAUUGAUUAUCACUGCCCGUGUAUUUACUUGUUCACUGAGCCAUUUGGGAUGUUCUUGGUCUCAGGGCCUGAGGAUCAUUUUCUCCGAUGCAUCACGGCUCAUAUUCCGGCUCAGUUCCUCCAGCGGUGUGCGGGCCACCAUCAGACUGUAUGCAGAGAGCUACGAGAGGGAUCCCAGCGGUCACGACCAGGAACCACAGGCGGUGCUGAGCCCUCUCAUAGCCAUCGCGUUGAAAAUAUCCCAGAUUCAUGAGAGAACUGGCCGGAGGGGACCCACUGUCAUCACCUGAGCACGGGGCAGCAGAGCACACAGAGAGACACUCCACCACCGUGCCUUCUUGCUUCCUGUUUGUGCCUCUUAGGACUUUGG
Long non-coding RNA from Phodopus roborovskii (desert hamster), 590 nucleotides. RefSeq lists it as uncharacterized. The record is from RefSeq and is a predicted model, not a curated record. NCBI's taxonomy places the organism in Eukaryota, Metazoa, Chordata, Mammalia, Rodentia, Cricetidae. The transcript is spliced from 2 exons.